AACGAACGCUGGCGGCAGGCCUAAAACAUGCAAGUCGAACGAUGUAGCAAUACAUAGUGGCGCACGGGUGCGUAACGCGUGGGAAUAUGCCCUUCACUACGGAACAACGUCUGGAAACGGACGCUAAUACCGUAUAAUGACUCCGGUCCAAAGAUUUAUCGGUGAAGGAUUAGCCCGCGUCUGAUUAGGUAGUUGGUGAGGUAGUGGCUCACCAAGCCGACGAUCAGUAGCUGGUUUGAGAGGAUGAUCAGCCACACUGGGACUGAGACACGGCCCAGACUCCUACGGGAGGCAGCAGUUAGGAAUAUUGGACAAUGGGGGAAACCCUGAUCCAGCCAUGCCGCGUGUGUGAAGAAGGCCUUAGGGUUGUAAAACACUUUCGGCUGUGAAGAUAAUGACAGUAGCAGAAGAAGAAGCUCCGGCUAAAUUCGUGCCAGCCGCCGCAGUAA
RNAcentral lists this ribosomal RNA (449 nucleotides) under uncultured bacterium. RNAcentral's name for it is "partial 16S ribosomal RNA". It matches the Rfam family "Bacterial small subunit ribosomal RNA", at positions 29 to 523 of the family's 1533-position model. The record is from RNAcentral.